RNAcentral lists this ribosomal RNA (254 nucleotides) under uncultured bacterium. RNAcentral describes it as "partial 16S ribosomal RNA". It matches the Rfam family "Bacterial small subunit ribosomal RNA", at positions 524 to 776 of the family's 1533-position model. The record is from RNAcentral.
UACGUAGGGUCCGAGCGUUGUCCGGAAUUACUGGGCGUAAAGAGCUCGUAGGCGGUCUGUCGCGUCGGUCGUGAAAACUUGGGGCUUAACCCUGAGCUUGCGGUCGAUACGGGCAUGACUGGAGUUCGGUAGGGGAGACUGGAAUUCCUGGUGUAGCGGUGAAAUGCGCAGAUAUCAGGAGGAACACCGGUGGCGAAGGCGGGUCUCUGGGCCGAUACUGACGCUGAGGAGCGAAAGCGUGGGGAGCGAACAGG